Molecule: ribosomal RNA, 252 nt
Filed under: uncultured bacterium
Lineage: Bacteria
Description: partial 16S ribosomal RNA
Rfam family: Bacterial small subunit ribosomal RNA
Source: RNAcentral
CCUGGUGGCGAGUGGCGAACGGGUGAGUAAUAUAUCGGAACGUGCCCAGUCGUGGGGGAUAACGCAGCGAAAGCUGUGCUAAUACCGCAUAAUCUCUGAGGAGGAAAGCGGGGGACCUUCGGGCCUCGCGCGAUUGGAGCGGCCGAUGUUAGAUUAGGUAGUUGGUGGGGUAAAGGCUCACCAAGCCGACGAUCUAUAGCUGGUCUGAGAGGACGACCAGCCACACUGGAACUGAGACACGGUCCAGACUCC